AUGAAUAAUAUUAGAAGAAGGAGUACUGUAUACUUUAUCCACAGGGAGUUAAGGCAAGUGAAAACUUAACGUGUCGGUAUAUAGGAAAAACAUCUUCGUUAUUUCUGGCUGAAAUGCGUCUUUAAAAGUAGAGUAGGUACAGACGUGACCCAAUGCGUUACAAUUGGAGAGUAUAUUUAUGUACUUUGAGGUGUUUUUUUAAAAAAACUUGGGUGGUACCGCGGAAAAGAUCUUUCGUCCCUUUU
This 245-nucleotide non-coding RNA is filed under the name Companilactobacillus farciminis. RNAcentral describes it as "Lactobacillus farciminis T-box sequence". It matches the Rfam family "T-box leader". Rfam says of the family: Uncharged tRNA acts as the effector for transcription antitermination of genes in the T-box leader family. T-boxes are found upstream of many aminoacyl-tRNA synthetase genes and some amino acid biosynthetic genes usually in Gram-positive bacteria. The anticodon of a specific tRNA base pairs to a specifier sequence within the T-box motif, and the NCCA acceptor tail of the tRNA base pairs to a conserved bulge in the T-box antiterminator hairpin. The record is from RNAcentral. Lineage: Bacteria; Bacillati; Bacillota; Bacilli; Lactobacillales; Lactobacillaceae.